This 74-nucleotide transfer RNA is filed under the name Planctomycetota bacterium. RNAcentral describes it as "tRNA-Gly". It matches the Rfam family "tRNA". Rfam says of the family: Transfer RNA (tRNA) molecules are approximately 80 nucleotides in length. Their secondary structure includes four short double-helical elements and three loops (D, anti-codon, and T loops). Further hydrogen bonds mediate the characteristic L-shaped molecular structure. tRNAs have two regions of fundamental functional importance: the anti-codon, which is responsible for specific mRNA codon recognition, and the 3' end, to which the tRNAs corresponding amino acid is attached (by aminoacyl-tRNA synthetases). tRNAs cope with the degeneracy of the genetic code in two manners: having more than one tRNA (with a specific anti-codon) for a particular amino acid; and 'wobble' base-pairing, i.e. permitting non-standard base-pairing at the 3rd anti-codon position. The record is from RNAcentral. Lineage: Bacteria; Pseudomonadati; Planctomycetota.
GCGGGUGUAGCUCAACGGUAGAGCUCCAGCCUUCCAAGCUGGUGGUGAGGGUUCGAUUCCCUCCACCCGCUCCA